This 533-nucleotide ribosomal RNA is filed under the name uncultured bacterium. RNAcentral's name for it is "bacterial SSU rRNA". It matches the Rfam family "Bacterial small subunit ribosomal RNA", at positions 777 to 1304 of the family's 1533-position model. The record is from RNAcentral.
AAUAGAUACCCUGGUAGUCCACGCUGUAAACGGUGGGUACUAGGUGUGGGGUCCAUUCCACGGGUUCCGUGCCGUAGCUAACGCUUUAAGUACCCCGCCUGGGGAGUACGGCCCCAAGGCUAAAACUCAAAGGAAUUGACGGGGCCCCGCACAAGCGGCGGAGCGAUGCGGAUUAAUUCGAUGCAACGCGUAGAACCUUACCUGGGUUUGACAUGGAUCGGGAGCGCUCAGAGGUGGGUGUGCCUCUUUUGGGGUCGGUUCACAGGUGGUGCAUGGCUGUCGUCAGCUCGUGUCGUGAGAUGUUAGGUUAAGUCCCGCAACGAGCGCAACCCUUGUUCACUGUUGCCAGCACGUUAUGGUGGGGACUCAGUGGAGACCGCCGGGGUCAACUCGGAGGAAGGUGGGGAUGACGUCAAGUCAGUCAUGCCCCUUAUGUCCAGGGCUUCACGCAUGCUACAAUGGCUGGUACAGAGAGUGGCGAGCCUGUGAGGGUGAGCGAAUCUCGGAAAGCCGGUCUCAGUUCGGAUUGGGGU